AUGACAAAUCUGGUAUGGGUGAUAUUGUGGAAGCUGCACAUACCAAGCAAAAUUAAGAUUUUCUCUUGGCGAGCCUUACAUGGAAUUAUUUCAGGAGUAUGUAUUUUGAGCAACAGACACAUAAAGGUAUCGACACAAUGCCCAAUCUGUAAACUCGGUCCGGAGGAUACAAAGCAUCUGAUUUUUACCUGUAAACGAGCGAAGGAAGUGUGGAAAUCUUUGGGGCUAGAUGAGGUAAUUUCCAAUGCUCUGAAAUGUGAUCGAUCAGGGUCAGUGGUGCUUGAAGAUAUACUUCAUAGACCAUCAAGGAAAUCCCCUGUUCUAGGACACCUGGGUCUGCAAGAAACAAUUGUUGUCGGUGCAUGGUAUAUAUGGUGGGACCGCAGAGAAGCAGUAAAAGGAGAAAGAGUUAAACCUACGCCUACUUCAGCCUUUGCUAUAAAUGCCAUUGCUGCUAACCAUGCCCCCCCCGGCUGA
Molecule: ribosomal RNA, 477 nt
Filed under: Triticum aestivum (bread wheat)
Lineage: Eukaryota; Viridiplantae; Streptophyta; Magnoliopsida; Poales; Poaceae
Description: partial small subunit ribosomal RNA
Source: RNAcentral